AGUUUGAUCAUGGCUCAGAUUGAACGCUGGCGGAUGCUUUACACAUGCAAGUCGAACGGCAGCACGGACUUCGGUCUGGUGGCGAGUGGCGAACGGGUGAGUAAUGUAUCGGAACGUGCCUAGUAGCGGGGAUAACUACGCGAAAGCGGUAUUAUCGUGCAUACGCCCUUCGGGGAGCGGGGACCUUCGGGCCUCGCACUACGGAGCGGCCGGAUAUCGGAUUAGCGAAGCAGGGUAACGGUUCACCAAGGCGACGAUCCGUAGCUGGUUUGAGGAGGACGACCAGCCACACUGGGACUGGAGAUGGCCUGACUCCUACGGGAGGCAGCAGUGGGGAAUUUUGACAAUGGGGGAAAACCCCGAUCCAGCCAUCCCGCGUGUGCGACGAAGGCCUUCGGGUUGUAAAGCACUUUUGGCAGGAAAGAAACGGCACGGGAUAAUACCGUGCAACUGACGGUAACGCAGAAUAAGCACCGGCUAACUACGUGCCAGCAGCCGCGGUAAUACGUAGGGCAAGCGUUAAUCGGAAUUACCGGGCGUAGCGUGCGCAGGCGGUUCGGAAAGAAAGAUGUGAAAUCCCAGAGCUUAACUUUGGAACUGCAUUUUUAACUACCGAGCUAGAGUGUGUCAGAGGAGGUGGAAUUCCGCGGCAGGCGCAAUGCGUAGAUAUGCGGAGGAACACCGGAUGGCGAAGGCAGCCUCUGGGAUAACACUGACGCUCAUGCACGAAAGCGUGGGGAGCAAACAGGAUUAGAUACCUCUGGUAGUCCACGCCCUAAACGAUGUCAACUAGCUGUUGGGGCCUUCGGGCCUUGGUAGCGCAGCUAACGCGUGAAGUUGACCGCCUGGGGAGGUUACUGCAAGAUUAAAACUCAAAGGAAUUGGUUUGGGACUCCACAAGCGGUGAUAUGACACUGAUGAGCCGCGAAAACUUUACCACCUUUGACAUGUCUGGAAUCCCGAAGAGAUCGGGAGUGCUCGCAAGAGAACCGGAACACAGGUGCUGCAUGGUUAAUACCAGCUCGUGUCGCAGAUGUUGGGUUAUCCGCAACGAGCGCAAACCUUGUCAUUAGUUGCUACGAAAGGGCACCUAAUGAGACUGCCGGUGACAAACCGGAGGAAGGUGGGGAUGACGUCAAGUCCAUGCGUAUUCCUUAUGGGUAGGGCUUCACACGUCAUACAAUGGUCGGGACAGAGGGUCGCCAACCCGGCGAGGGGGAGCCAAUCCCAGAAACCCGAUCGUAGUCCGGAUCGCAGUCUGCAACUCGACUGCGUGAAGUCGGAAUACAGUAAUCGCGGAUCAGCAUGUCGCGGUGAACACGUUCCCGGGUCUUCGUACACUGCCCGUCACACCAUGGGAGUGGGUUUUACCAGAAGCAGCGAAGCCUAACCGUAAGGAGGGCGAUUACCACGCGGUAGGAUUCAUGGGAUCGGGGUGAAGUCGUAACAAGGCAA
Molecule: ribosomal RNA, 1455 nt
Filed under: uncultured Bordetella sp.
Lineage: Bacteria; Pseudomonadati; Pseudomonadota; Betaproteobacteria; Burkholderiales; Alcaligenaceae
Description: partial 16S-23S ribosomal RNA intergenic spacer
Rfam family: Bacterial small subunit ribosomal RNA
Source: RNAcentral